GUGUUUGUGUGCAUGUUAAGGUGAAAUAUAGAGUCAGCGAGUGAGAGAACAGACUGGGAAAGUACCUUUUGGUCAAUAUACUUGUUGUCUUCGAUGGC
This is a long non-coding RNA of Salarias fasciatus (jewelled blenny), 98 nucleotides long. RefSeq lists it as uncharacterized. NCBI's taxonomy places the organism in Eukaryota, Metazoa, Chordata, Actinopteri, Blenniiformes, Blenniidae. The record is from RefSeq and is a predicted model, not a curated record. The transcript is spliced from 3 exons.